GUUUCCGUAGUGUAACGGUUAUCACGUUCGCCUUAGAGGCGAAAGGUCCACAGUUCAAAACUGGGCGGAAACA
Non-coding RNA from Sinocyclocheilus rhinocerous, 73 nucleotides. The record is from the annotation of a RefSeq genome assembly. Lineage: Eukaryota; Metazoa; Chordata; Actinopteri; Cypriniformes; Cyprinidae.